UACGAGUACCCCAAGCGUUAUCCGGAAUCAUUGGGCGUAAAGAGCUCGUAGGCGGUUCAGCAAGUCGGCUGUGAAAUUCCGAGGCUCAACCUCGGAACUGCAGCCGAUACUGCUGUGACUCGAGUCCGGUAGAGGAGAAUGGAAUUCCCGGUGUAGCGGUGAAAUGCGCAGAUAUCAGGAGGAACACCAGUGGCGAAGGCGCCGCUCUGGGCCGUGACUGACGCUGAGGAGCGAAAUCGUGGUUAGCAAACAGG
This 254-nucleotide ribosomal RNA is filed under the name uncultured bacterium. RNAcentral describes it as "partial 16S ribosomal RNA". It matches the Rfam family "Bacterial small subunit ribosomal RNA", at positions 524 to 776 of the family's 1533-position model. The record is from RNAcentral.